RNAcentral lists this transfer RNA (73 nucleotides) under Fibrobacterales bacterium. RNAcentral's name for it is "tRNA-Trp". It matches the Rfam family "tRNA". Rfam says of the family: Transfer RNA (tRNA) molecules are approximately 80 nucleotides in length. Their secondary structure includes four short double-helical elements and three loops (D, anti-codon, and T loops). Further hydrogen bonds mediate the characteristic L-shaped molecular structure. tRNAs have two regions of fundamental functional importance: the anti-codon, which is responsible for specific mRNA codon recognition, and the 3' end, to which the tRNAs corresponding amino acid is attached (by aminoacyl-tRNA synthetases). tRNAs cope with the degeneracy of the genetic code in two manners: having more than one tRNA (with a specific anti-codon) for a particular amino acid; and 'wobble' base-pairing, i.e. permitting non-standard base-pairing at the 3rd anti-codon position. Lineage: Bacteria; Pseudomonadati; Fibrobacterota; Fibrobacteria; Fibrobacterales. The record is from RNAcentral.
AGGCUUGUAGCUCAAUUGGUAGAGCAGCGGUCUCCAAAACCGCAGGUUGGGGGUUCGAGACCCUCCGAGCCUG